This is a long non-coding RNA of Dalotia coriaria, 478 nucleotides long. RefSeq lists it as uncharacterized. NCBI's taxonomy places the organism in Eukaryota, Metazoa, Arthropoda, Insecta, Coleoptera, Staphylinidae. The transcript has 3 exons. The record is from RefSeq and is a predicted model, not a curated record.
GUUAUGUUUGUAAACUACCUUCCAUUGCGCAUCCGAUUUCAAUAUUUGCAUUAUAGGCAAACACUGAUUGUAGUCGUUAUCGUAUCCUGCAGCUGACACCUUACAAUACACGCUUUUGACAUCAUAGAGCAUUUGCACGUGCUAGCGAAAUAUCCGUCGCGACAAUAUCAGAAAUAUUAGAGUAAAUUGAUUGCUUAAAUAAAGAAAACUUAGUUAAGCAAACAUGAAGCCAGCUCAAGUUGUUGACGAAAUGUUUCCGGAAGGACCUUUCAUGGAUUGCGAUGAGAUGGGUGGUUCGAAUUUAAUGAGCGUCGAGAUUUCGCCGGAACGCUUUGUUCACGUGGAUUUUCAGAAUGAUUUUGGUGAGCUCUUUGAUGAUGAAGACCUGGAUUGAAUCAUUAUAAUGUUUGCCAUUGGAUGAAUUAAUAAUAACUUGUAAUUAUUGAUAUUAUUAAUGAAAUAAAUACAUUGAUUCACA